This is a long non-coding RNA of Syzygium oleosum, 460 nucleotides long. RefSeq lists it as uncharacterized. The record is from RefSeq and is a predicted model, not a curated record. NCBI's taxonomy places the organism in Eukaryota, Viridiplantae, Streptophyta, Magnoliopsida, Myrtales, Myrtaceae. The transcript is spliced from 2 exons.
AUAUCCCAGCCACCGACCCCUCUGUUUUACCUUCGAUCCAAGACCCAUCAAUGUUGAAUUUCAGAAUUCCCGGUUCUGGGGGCGUCCAGCGUUCUGUCUUAGCUUUCGCCGUCUAGCUCCUCGAUUCAGGCGUUCCUUACCUUCCAAAUUUGCUAGAGGACUCCUGCAAGCAUUUCCCGACCCGAUUGUACUGAGCUUUUGGGGAGUGCUUCGUUGAUCCAUUUGUCCAUCCUUGUUAGAUUUAUCAGUGAUACGUCCAUCUGGAUUCUCGGGUCUGACCAUAUGUUGUUGGUCCAGUCACAGAGGGUGAAGAUGUGCUCCAUCGUCUCAGGAUGUUUUUGGCAAAUUGGACAAAGUGGGUCAGGUAAGGCCCUUCUUUUAUAUAGAUUUUCCGAAGUUGGCAGAGCAUUACUACACACACACCAUAUGAAAAAUCGAAUUUUUGGUUCUGUGCGUAAUU